RNAcentral lists this ribosomal RNA (335 nucleotides) under Staphylococcus pseudintermedius. RNAcentral describes it as "partial 23S ribosomal RNA". It matches the Rfam family "Bacterial large subunit ribosomal RNA", at positions 1089 to 1429 of the family's 2925-position model. Lineage: Bacteria; Bacillati; Bacillota; Bacilli; Caryophanales; Staphylococcaceae. The record is from RNAcentral.
ACAACUAGGAUGUUGGCUUAGAAGCAGCCAUCAUUUAAAGAGUGCGUAAUAGCUCACUAGUCGAGUGACACUGCGCCGAAAAUGUACCGGGGCUAAACAUAUUACCGAAGCUGUGGAUUGUCCUUUGGACAAUGGUAGGAGAGCGUUCUAAGGGCGUUGAAGCAUGAUCGCAAGGACAUGUGGAGCGCUUAGAAGUGAGAAUGCCGGUGUGAGUAGCGAAAGACGGGUGAGAAUCCCGUCCACCGAUUGACUAAGGUUUCCAGAGGAAGGCUCGUCCGCUCUGGGUUAGUCGGGUCCUAAGCUGAGGCCGACAGGCGUAGGCGAUGGAUAACAGG